GGGGUGAGUAACACGUGGAUAACCUACCUAUAAGACUGGGAUAACUUCGGGAAACCGGAGCUAAUACCGGAUAAUAUAUUGAACCGCAUGGUUCAAUAGUGAAAGACGGUUUUGCUGUCACUUAUAGAUGGAUCCGCGCCGCAUUAGCUAGUUGGUAAGGUAACGGCUUACCAAGGCAACGAUGCGUAGCCGACCUGAGAGGGUGAUCGGCCACACUGGAACUGAGACACGGUCCAG
This 237-nucleotide ribosomal RNA is filed under the name uncultured Staphylococcus sp. RNAcentral describes it as "partial 16S ribosomal RNA". It matches the Rfam family "Bacterial small subunit ribosomal RNA", at positions 104 to 334 of the family's 1533-position model. Lineage: Bacteria; Bacillati; Bacillota; Bacilli; Caryophanales; Staphylococcaceae. The record is from RNAcentral.